AGAUUUGAGGGUACUCUGACUGCAACAUCUAUGACCCCAUUGAUCGCCAGGAUUGAUUUGGUUGAUCUGGCUGAGUAGGCAGGUGUCCCCGUCCUCCCUCGCUGCCCCAUAUGUGUCCCUCCUAAAGCUGCAUGCUCAGUUGAAGAGGACGAGAGGACGACCUUCUCUGAUAGAGGAGGACCACGCUUCAGUCAAAGGCAUACAAGUA
Molecule: small nuclear RNA, 208 nt
Filed under: Gorilla gorilla gorilla (western lowland gorilla)
Lineage: Eukaryota; Metazoa; Chordata; Mammalia; Primates; Hominidae
Description: 7SK RNA
Rfam family: 7SK RNA
About the family: 7SK was discovered as an abundant small nuclear RNA in the mid-70s but a possible function has only recently been suggested. Two independent studies have found that 7SK RNA binds the CDK9/cyclin T complex (known as elongation factor P-TEFb). P-TEFb activates transcription by phosphorylating the C-terminal domain of RNA polymerase II.
Source: Rfam by way of RNAcentral